UAACCUGCCUGGUAGCGGGGGAUAACUAUUGGAAACGAUAGCUAAUACCGCAUAAGAGUAGAUGUUGCAUGACAUUUGCUUAAAAGGUGCAAUUGCAUCACUACCAGAUGGACCUGCGUUGUAUUAGCUAGUUGGUGGGGUAACGGCUCACCAAGGCGACGAUACAUAGCCGACCUGAGAGGGUGAUCGGCCACACUGGGACUGAGACACGGCCCAG
RNAcentral lists this ribosomal RNA (217 nucleotides) under uncultured bacterium. Its description in RNAcentral is "partial 16S ribosomal RNA". It matches the Rfam family "Bacterial small subunit ribosomal RNA", at positions 122 to 334 of the family's 1533-position model. The record is from RNAcentral.